GGUAAUAUAGUUUAUUUAAAACUUAAAGAUUGCAAAUCUUUUAAUAUACUCAGUAUUGUUACUU
This 64-nucleotide transfer RNA is filed under the name Simocephalus vetulus. Its description in RNAcentral is "tRNA-Cys". Lineage: Eukaryota; Metazoa; Arthropoda; Branchiopoda; Diplostraca; Daphniidae. The record is from RNAcentral.